Molecule: long non-coding RNA, 2683 nt
Filed under: Mus musculus (house mouse)
Lineage: Eukaryota; Metazoa; Chordata; Mammalia; Rodentia; Muridae
Description: long non-coding RNA chr6:52560551-52563234
Source: RNAcentral
UUGUGUGAUAAAGAAGAAACUCCAAGGCAGUGUAUAAAAUGGGAAAGGCAUUAAUACUUCUUUAUAGAGUAGCUGUAAAUACCACUUAAAUAGAAGGUCUUUACAAUUUUUAUGUGUGAUGUGGCAUUUUCCCUAUCUGGUUAUCUAAGUCAUUGUCUCUUCUAGGUUAGUUUUAGCCUUGCUUGCUGAAUAUUAGCUGCUGUGGACUCACCCCAAGUGAAGCAGGCUGGCCCUGGUUAAGAAGUUCUAUAGAAGUCCACGUUCGGUUAGUGUUAAGAUUACAACACUGUAAGCUGGGUGUGUUGGCAUAUGCCUGACAUGCCACUUGGGAGGCUAAGAUAGCCAAAUCAUGAAUUCUGACCAAUUUAAGCAACAAAAUGUGACCCUGUCUUAAAAAGUAAGAGUAGGGAGAGGAAAAAAAAUCACCACGAAGACCUAGAAAAAUCAGUAACAGUUGAGUGCAUCUUAUGGGAAGAGAUGGAGAAUCCGUAUUUGCUUACAUUCAACAUAGUCCACUGGGCACCUCCUAUACAUCAAGCUCUGUAGCUAGCUGUGGGGUGAGAGCUUAAUCACACAUACGUAUUGCUUCUAAGAAGUUAUGCGCCUGUGACCUGGCCACAUUUUUCUAUAACCUGUGCACUUGAUCUCCCUUCUGUCCUGGUCUCCAACAUCUAUUCUCAACACAACAGCCAGAGGAACUCUCCUAGAAUAUAAAUCUAGCCCACAGUUUUUCUCUUCUCUCAGCAAUCCCAAAACUUCCCAUCAUGCUCAGCAUGAGAUCCAAAGUCCUACAAAGCCCUCUUUUAAUAAAGCCACAGCUUCCUCUCCUGUCUUAUCCAUACCCAUCUUUCUGUCACUCAGGCUUCAAGGCACUCUGGCCUCUGGCUGUCCCUGAAACAGAUCAAGCAUGACCUUAUCUCAUCUCCGAGCCUUGCACUUAUUCUUUUCAGUUUGGCACAUUCUUCUCCAAACUACUCAUGACAAAUUUUCCAAUAAUCAUGAACCAGGCUCAACAUUUGCCUCUUCAGAGAAGCCAGACUUAACACUUGUUAACUUUCCUGCUUUGACUUUGUAUCACCUAUUUCAAUACCUUUAUUUCUGAUACAAUUCUCCAUAGGAACACUAUUUCUGGGAAGGUAGAGAUAAUUGACUCUUGAGGCACAUACCCACAGAGCCUGGUACAAAAGAGAUGUUCAGUAGAUGACAAUUUACCCAGAGAAAGACAGAAAAGGAGAGGCUAUUCCUUAAAUGUGCAUUCCAAAAAGUAAGUCAUCCCCAAGACAACAGUGCUAAACAGUGAGAACCAAUGAGAGCUCGUUAGAACACGGAGGCUCCAUCACGCACGGACUCAUGCAACAUCAAGGGCAUGGGUAUUUUAUGGAAGGACAAGUGUGGCCUCUCUCAUUCUUAUGCCCCUCAUCCUCCAAAUCCUGUUCCUUCAAGUCAUGAUGGCCCUUCACAAAUGACAGCCGUUUAUUUUUGGUUUUCCAACCUUCAGAACCAUAAGAAAUAAAAUUCUGUCCCUUAUAAAUUAACUAGUCUCUCUCUUUUUCUUAGGAGUGGUGCUUCUGGUGGUUGCUAGGCAUCAACUCCAGGGUCUUGAGCAUAUCAGACAAGUACUCUACCAACUCUAUAUCCCUAGUUCCCAGUCUCUCAGGUACUACUAAAGUAUCACAAAGUGGACUAAGACAGAAGGCAAAAGGGAAGAAACACAGCGAAGCGGUACCAGGUGAGACCUGUUCUCACAGAAAUACUCUUGAUGCUAAGGGUUUACCAAGCUUUUUUGUCACUCUAGUAAUCCACUUAAAUGCUGCCUGCUCUAUCCACUUCCAAUCUAUGAGGGAAGUCAGACAACAUGAUUCUAUGAUCAUUUGGGGUUUUCAAAUUCACAUGCAUCCACAUUCAAACAUGUAUGAUGCUAACACACAAAACUGGGAUACACUGGAUAAAAGUUCCCCAUUAGAAAAAAGAAAGGCUGAUCAUGAGAAAUGAUAUAGUAUACUACUUAUUAUGUAUAAUACUUUAAGAUAUGCACACUUUGCAGAAUGGCUUAAGUCAAACUGUCUAGUGGAUGAUAUUGUGCACACCUUUAAUCCCAGCACUUGGGAGGCAGAGGCAGAAGGAUCUGAGUUCUGGCCAGCCUGGUCUAUAGAGCGAGUCCCAGGAUAGCCAGAAGUACAGAGAGAGACCCUGUCUCAAAAGUAAGUAAGUAAAUAAAUUAAAUGGCCUUCAGUUGAUUAAGCCCAUACCUACCCUAUAUAGUCUACUUUAUUGCUUCUUGGCCUUUUAGCUAAGUACAAGUGUAAAAGGAAAAAAAAGAUUUUUUUUAAACAUACAUAUAUUAACUUAAAUCCAACAAGCCCAAAUCCUGUAGCUGCCUUUAAAGCUUCUAGCCAUUUCUUACAAUCAUGUCUUUAGAAAUUCUCUCACAUAGUCCUAGAAUAAAAACAAUGAACUCAAUUAUACAAACAAAUGAAAAUGCAAGUGCCCAAAUCACUCAAAAUAGACACAAUCACUGUGAUGGCUUGAAUCUGCUUGGCCCACGGGAAGUGCUGUUAGGAGGCGUGGCCUUGUUGGAGGAAGUGCAUGACUGUGGAGGUGGGGUUUAAGGGCCCCUAGUGUUUAAGCUCCACCCCCUCAGGGACACAGUCUUCUUCUCCUGGCGGCCUUUGGACCAUGAUAU